AACGAACGUUGGCGGCGUGGAUUAGGCAUGCAAGUCGUGGGCGGUUACGUGGUGUAGCAAUACAUCGCGUGACUGACCGGGCGUAAGGGGUAGUAAUACAUGGGUAACCAACCCGUCCAGAUGGGGAUAACCCGUCGAAAGACGGACUAAUACCCAGCGACGUUGCGAGGGGCAUCUCUUUGCAACCAAAGGUGUGAUUCCGCUGGAGGACGGGCUCAUGUCGUAUUAGCUAGUUGGUAGGGAACGGCCUACCAAGGCGAAGAUGCGUAGGGGACUUAGCGCGUGAUCCCCACACUGGGACUGAGACACUGCCCAGACACCUACGGGUGGCUGCAGUCGAGAAUCUUCGGCAAUGGGCGCAAGCCUGACCGAGCGACGCCGCGUGCGGGAUGAAGGCCU
This 399-nucleotide ribosomal RNA is filed under the name uncultured bacterium. Its description in RNAcentral is "bacterial SSU rRNA". It matches the Rfam family "Bacterial small subunit ribosomal RNA", at positions 29 to 417 of the family's 1533-position model. The record is from RNAcentral.